Molecule: long non-coding RNA, 2008 nt
Organism: Vigna radiata var. radiata (mung bean)
Lineage: Eukaryota; Viridiplantae; Streptophyta; Magnoliopsida; Fabales; Fabaceae
Exons: 5
Source: RefSeq, a predicted model, not a curated record
AAACUCAAAACUUACAACACAAAACGCAAAAUGCAAUGUGCUUUUAAAUUAAUUUGACAUCCUUCCAAACGCGUGCUUUUAAAUUAAUUUGACAUCCUUCCAAACGCACACAAACCCUUCUUCUCUGUCUUGUUUUCUUUGAGUGCAUGGCAAUUUGGGGGGUUUUCUUUGGAAUUAGGACAUACAUUUUCGCUGAGUUGAUCCUUGAAACAGCGGAGAAGAUGUAAUCCCAUCGAGACUGUCUUUCGCAUUUGAUAAACAAGUGGUAACUGUAACUGUAAGAGUGUGAGUGAGGAUUGGGUUUUGGCAUGAAGGGUGCUUUGGAUCGGACGAAGGCCUGCCGCCCUCUCUUUCCGAGGCCGCACUCUUGGCCCAAAUUGAUGCCGCCUUCGCUGACCGCUACAACUGGUUCUCUUUCCGUCCUGACAAAAUCAGGUCUUCUUUACCUAAUAGAGCAUGAAGCUCAUACUAAAUUGCUGGCUUUGUUAUUAAGGAUUAUCAAGCUUUUGAUAUCAUCUACACCGUCCCUGUUCGCUCAUUAGCGCACUAUAAUAAUCACAUCUGCAUUCAGUACUUUGCUGCCUCCAAACGGUUGAACGCACAAUACUAAUAUUUUAUAGUAAAACUUCUGCGGAGCUUGAAGCAUUGAAUAAAUCACUUAAGGAUUUACUUGAUGGAAUACAAUGUAAAGGAUGAGCGUGAGUGUGAACCUGUGAUACAAACAACAGGCCUUGGCACCUCUUGUGGAUGCUCUGAAAUUACAAGGAGGUUUGAAUUAAUGAUAAAUAUCAAGUAUGUGCAGCCAAGAAAAAGGGAGUUUCUUUUAUAUCAAAUGCUUUUGAUAUACUUAAAUUGUGUUGUAUGGCCUGCAAUUGAUAGGAUUAUAAUCGUUUGAUCUGCUGAAUUAGUGGAAUUGUUUGUGCAGUAUCAGUUGAGACAUUAUUUGAGAGCAACGAGGAUCAAUUUCGUGCAUCAAGUUUGACAAGACCGAGAAAGGGAAGUUCUAAUUGCUUUAUCUUUUUGUGCAAACUAGUUUGGUUAAGGGUGUAAGUGACAACAACCUUGUUCAUUUGUGUUGCAGGAUUGGAACAUCAAACUUCAUGAUGAGAUCGAGCUAGUUGAAGGCCACAUUUUGAUCCAGUGAAGCGUUGCAGCAGUUGACCGUAUCAAGAAAGUAGCGUAGCUUUUGUUUUUUAUUUUCCUUGUAUUUGAUUUGUGAUGGGCUGGUGUCAGCCUACUGUUACUCUUAGUUUUAGCUUUGGUUUGUAAAAGGUCUUUUAAAAGUCCAAGUGCAUUGGAGGAGUUCUUAGUACUCUUUCCAACUCUUGGCAAUUUUGAUUACUCUUUUUAAAUUUGACAUAGCUAGACAGGUGAGUGUGUUUUGUUAGCUAAAGUUACAAGCCUCACCAUAGGAGUAGAAUUUUAUAUUGUUUGAUUGUCUUUGCCUUUUGUGAUCACGUUUUAGGGGUCAUUAGAGUCUGUUGCUAAUUGUUUGUGAGUUGAGUUCUUUGAUUUUGAAAGUGAUUUUAUUUUAAAGGGUAAUUAGUAAGUAGCUUAAGACAUAUCUGGCCAAGGCAAGACUUGGUAUUUAAGUAAUCUUUCUGGUUUACUUUUCUUACAUGAGAUUUGUCUCAAGUGGAAGUUUUUUCAUCCUUUAGAUUAAGAAAAUUUUUAAAAACAAAGAUGUCUUAUUAUAGUUCAGAUAGGUCUUCUAGGUUAGAUAAUGUUGAUGAAAUGUUUAAUCUAACAUUCUUUGGAAACUGUGCAUUAACAUACUUAGCUUGGGAAAAACAAUUUGAUAAAAUAGAUCCUUGGUUUUAUAGUGAGAGUGAAUAUUAUAUUCUUAGCAUUUAUCUUUCUAAGUUAGAAGGGCAUGCAAGUGAGUGGUGGGAAGAAAGGCAAUUUUAUGUUAGGAAAGGUAGAAAGUAUUCCAUUAGUGAUUGGAAGGGUUUAGGGUUUAGGAUGUGUUUGUGUAAUGUGUGUUUGUGUAUGUAUGAGUGUGUGUGUA